AAUAAUGAAAUCUAAUUAACAUAGUAAAGUAAAGUGGUAGAUCUUUUUUUGUGUGACAGUAGUUAUAACUCAGAGAUCAAAGAGCAGAGGUAAAUGGCACAGUUGUUUCUGGUAACCACAUGGAGCCAGUAAGAAGUCCAUUAACGGUGAACCGUGAUGCUUCAGCUGGGCUUGUUAUCACAUGAAACCCAGGCCAUUGCACUCUGUUUGUCACGGAUGAACCAGGCCCAGAGUUCUCAUACUCUCCAUAAAACAAAGUGUCAAGAGCAAAAUCAGUAUCAUCCCAUGAAGACCAUCCCAACGGGUGUCCAUGAAAGUUUGCUUGCCCAUCUAAUGGUUUUCUUGCAAUUCUGAAAAACUACUGCGGCGUUGCCAAAGAUGAAGUCGUAGAUAUGGCAUUGUCUGUAAAAUUGGCGUUGAUCUCAUCACCAAGAACCGCAACCAUGCGUCGUGUGUUACCAUUUUUCUCCUUUACUCUUGCUGGGUCUGGACUUUUGUUUGAGUCGUUUUAUGUAAUCAUUCAAGUGAGAAAUCCAUGGACGCACGAGCUAUGGUCGAAUCGGUUUGAAAUCGUAGUUGGGGAUGAUAUCGUAACUCUGCUUAUGUUCCCUCCCUUUCUUCGUUGGCUGCCUUCUCAAUUAUCUGUUGUCCUCUCCUUUUUCAUUUUCUCUUCUCUAACAAUUGAUUAUUUUCAAAUUUGUUGAGCUAACAGUGCAAGUGAUUAGAAAUAAGUAGAAACCAGUCAGCAUUUUUUAAUUCAUUCUGAUUGCUACACUACAUGAUCAAUGUUAUUAUGUUUGAAAGUUAAUAUGAGUAUGUAUCUUUUGUUCUACAAUAUUGAUGCGUAAAUUAUGUGGGUCCUGAUAAAUGAUAUUCAAUUUAGCUAAGAUUUUUUGUGGACCAAACUCAGAAUCACAGCCAAAAGUGAUAGAAACAACAGUAAAACAACAUAUAAAAAAGCGCACAAUAGAAUUUUUAGAUUCAUGAUUUGGUACUUUUCAUACUAACUUACAAUUUUUAGAGACAAGAGUGGAUUAUAAAUGUUUAAGAGGGCUACACAGUUUUGUUGUCUUUGAUUUAUUUUUCCCCCUGAUUAAACUGUAUUAGCAGUUUAUUUCAUGUGUUUCGAAAAAAUCCAGUUAUAUAAUUGGUUUGCUUUGUUUAUGUAUUUUAUAUUUUAUCUUAGAAGAAGAUGAACAUGAAAGUUGUGAAAACUGGCACAAUAGGUGUGGGUAUUCUGCACAAUUAGUAUUUCCUGCCUAUUAAAUGACCCUUUAGUUGAAUUUGUUUUUAUUACUUCCUAGGCCUGCCUUAGUUAGCUUUGCACCAUUGACUUGGAUCUACAGUGGUAGUUGAUUUUCCUCUGUGCAAUUUGUGAUUCUGGGGUUAGAGAUUUUAUUAUUCUCCCCUCUUUUUGCUCACAUGGGUGAUUUUUAUUGUGCUUACUUAUACUCUUCACUCAUAUAGUUUUAAUUUGCCUGGAAUGAUGCAUCAGAAUUUGCUAACAUAGAGUCAUAGUAGUUAUCCUAAUAUGCAAGGCCAGUAAAUACAAGUUAUCCUCUAGAUGUUUCCUUUAGAAUCACAAGGCAGACAUAAAUUCCCAUGAUGCAAGAAGGAUAUAAUCCUUAUCAGAAAUAUCAUGUAUGCUCAUGGACUAACCACACAUUGUUAUCUUAUGCAUGAAGAUCCUUAAUCAAUUUUGUGCAUGGAUUCUGAAGUGUCUGGUGACACUUAUGUGGACUAUAUACCUAAUUUUGUUGUGCAAAUGAAAUUCUUUUGUAGUCAUAUUAAAUGCUUGAUUCUGCUUUAAGUUUUGCUCUUAGGCAUUUAACUGCUAAAAGUUGUCUUUCCCCUCUGUUGCUCAAUUGGAUCUGGAACUACAUUGAUCAUUUUUUUGUGUUAUUGCCAUUUAUUAGUAAAAUUCCAUUAAAUUUGUGAUUCUUUAACACUAAAGGUAUUGUCAUUUAAAAACCCUUUGGGCAGAUUGCUAAGUUGGAUGCUCAAAGUUGAAUCGCCAUCUUCCAUCCUUUAAGAACGGUGCCUUGGGGAUGAAAUAUGUGUUUGCUGAGAGUUGGGCUUCAGAAUAUCUAAAUGUCAUCUUAUCCAAAUGGCCAAUUAAGAGGUGGAUAAGGAUGAUGAUUUCAGGUUCCUUCUUCCUCUCAUAUUUCCACUGAAAAAUUGAGACUUUCCAUUUUUUCAUCAUGAAAGUAAUUAGUUAAGAUUUUUGUUAUAGAAAAAACUACAAUAAGAACUGUUUAUGUGUUGCAAGAAUGUUUUCAAGGCCUCAAUAGUUGUGCCCUUGGCAGGAGAAUCAGAAAAUGACACUGUUUAGAUCAUCAUGAACUGUGGUCAUGUAUUUACUCUUUAUGACAUGCUUACCUAUGAAUUACACUUGCAGUGAUACACAUAGUUCUCCUUCUUCUUCCUAGGGACUUAGUCAUCUUAUUGAACCUAAUCUGUUCACAUUGGAGGAGGAUUUUUGUAUCAUGCUGCAACCGAAAACUAGAGGAGCUUAAGGAGUUUAAUGAGAUUGCCAGGUUCCGAGUUUAUUGUUCGAGUCACAAUCAAAUUGCCACAAUCAAUUUUCUGUUGCUAAUAGGGUGAAGGCGAUCAAUUUGUGGAUAAAGCAUUCUUGGAUUUUGGAUACGAAGAAGUGAAUCUCACCCCUUCUGAAGAGAAAGCAAGAUAAGGAUCAUGAAAGUGUUGGUGACAGUAACAGCCCAAAGAACUUGAAGAGUAUCAUGAUAGUGGAGGGUUGAUCUUUUAGAGAAGACUCUUUUCUAUGAUUUAGAUUGAAAAAUCAUGUUAUUUUACUGUAAUGGAUACCCUUAUCAGGCUCUGUUUUUUCCUUGAGUUCUGUUGUGCAUUUUCUAUCUAUAAAUGAUAU
RNA transcript from Lotus japonicus, 2887 nucleotides. RefSeq lists it as uncharacterized. NCBI's taxonomy places the organism in Eukaryota, Viridiplantae, Streptophyta, Magnoliopsida, Fabales, Fabaceae. The transcript is spliced from 3 exons. The record is from RefSeq and is a predicted model, not a curated record.